CCAGCUCACACGGGGUGCCGAAAGGCUGAGAGGCGAGAAGCCAACCCGUCGAACCUGAUCCGGAUCAUGCCGGCGGAGGGAUUGCGGGCGCGGCCGGAU
Molecule: non-coding RNA, 99 nt
Filed under: Aurantimonas sp. 22II-16-19i
Lineage: Bacteria; Pseudomonadati; Pseudomonadota; Alphaproteobacteria; Hyphomicrobiales; Aurantimonadaceae
Also listed under: 1 other name
Description: TPP riboswitch aptamer (THI element)
Rfam family: TPP riboswitch aptamer (THI element)
About the family: Vitamin B(1) in its active form thiamin pyrophosphate (TPP) is an essential coenzyme that is synthesised by coupling of pyrimidine and thiazole moieties in bacteria.
Source: Rfam by way of RNAcentral